RNAcentral lists this ribosomal RNA (253 nucleotides) under uncultured bacterium. RNAcentral describes it as "partial 16S ribosomal RNA". It matches the Rfam family "Bacterial small subunit ribosomal RNA", at positions 524 to 776 of the family's 1533-position model. The record is from RNAcentral.
UACGGAGGGUGCAAGCGUUGUCCGGAUUUAUUGGGUUUAAAGGGUGCGUAGGUGGCCUUAUAAGUCAGCGGUGAAAGUCUGCAGCUUAACUGUAGAACUGCCAUUGAUACUGUAAGGCUUGAGUACUGAUGAGGUAGGCGGAAUUGAUAGUGUAGCGGUGAAAUGCAUAGAUAUUAUCAAGAACACCGAUUGCGAAGGCAGCUUACUAAGGAGUUACUGACACUGAGGCACGAAAGCGUGGGGAUCAAACAGG